AAAAAUAUUGUGCACAUAACUACCUGCUUGGUGAAUUCUAAGAAUCAAGUGUGCGCAUAGCUGGCUUUGUUUUACCCUAUACGCAUAAAGUGCGUUCAAUUUAGGAUUUAAUCGAGUUGUGUCAAACACACAGCUAACGCGCUUAGGUCAUGGCCCCGUUUUCCAUCUGCUCCAAGUGCAAGGCUCGAACCCGAAAGGUUGUCAAAGAUUCAAUAACUUUAAAGGAUAUUUACCUAUGCCCCAAAUGCUGCAAGGCGAAAAAUGAAACGCAAAAUAUAGAGAAUGAACAGGACAACAAAGAGUUGCGAAGAAUACAACUGGAACUGCCAGCGCUUGAACUGAAGAAGCCCAUACCACCAGAGCCCAAAGCAGCGACACCUGCAAAGCUGCCACUUGCUGCCGUCGCAGGUGCUGCCAGCCACAGCGCCAGUCGGAAAUGUACACCACCCAUAAUGCAGACUGUGAUCAUAAAUGGACGCAAAUAUAUUGCCAUCAGUGCAACAGCCUCGGACAAUUAGACAAUGUACGCUUUGCAGAAAAUAAAA
Drosophila montana is the source of this 545-nucleotide long non-coding RNA. RefSeq lists it as uncharacterized. The record is from RefSeq and is a predicted model, not a curated record. The transcript has 3 exons. Lineage: Eukaryota; Metazoa; Arthropoda; Insecta; Diptera; Drosophilidae.